GGGCCCGUGGUGUAGCCUGGCCGAACACGCCGCCCUGUCAAGGCGGAGAUCGCGGGUUCAAAUCCCGUCGGGCCCG
RNAcentral lists this transfer RNA (76 nucleotides) under Thermoflexus hugenholtzii JAD2. Its description in RNAcentral is "tRNA_Asp_GTC". It matches the Rfam family "tRNA". From Rfam's summary of the family: Transfer RNA (tRNA) molecules are approximately 80 nucleotides in length. Their secondary structure includes four short double-helical elements and three loops (D, anti-codon, and T loops). Further hydrogen bonds mediate the characteristic L-shaped molecular structure. tRNAs have two regions of fundamental functional importance: the anti-codon, which is responsible for specific mRNA codon recognition, and the 3' end, to which the tRNAs corresponding amino acid is attached (by aminoacyl-tRNA synthetases). tRNAs cope with the degeneracy of the genetic code in two manners: having more than one tRNA (with a specific anti-codon) for a particular amino acid; and 'wobble' base-pairing, i.e. permitting non-standard base-pairing at the 3rd anti-codon position. Lineage: Bacteria; Bacillati; Chloroflexota; Thermoflexia; Thermoflexales; Thermoflexaceae. The record is from RNAcentral. RNAcentral also lists the same sequence under 3 other names.